GUCCUUGAGAGCCACAGCUGGGUCUCCUGCUUCCUCCGUGUGCCCCAUGGCCAUGGCUCCUUGACUUGCCUCAGAACAUAAUCUCAGAAUACAACGUUCUUUCAGCGGAAUAAAUUUAACAAGCUGGAACAUUCAUCACAUCUCUUUGUCUUCUGUUCACAAGGGGACGAGGGACCACUUUAUCAUCGUCCAUCCCAGUGUUUGGGAGCCACUGUCUGCAUCCCUUGCCAGAGGGAUGAAGUUAUCAGAAAGAUGUUCACUGAACACCUACUGUAUCCCGGGUGCCGAGGGAGGCCCUGAGGAUUCAAAGAUGGAAAACACAGCGUGCUCAUGAUGCGUGUCCUCGUGGAUUAGUCUACUGGAUCCCUCCACGCUCCUCCACUUCGUCUCCCUAGGCUAGGGGGCCGCGCAGGCCACCUCUUUAGGCAUCAGCGUCCUAAUCUGUAUAAGCCCCCUCUGUAUGGGAGCUGGACCACAGCACAGCCUUGGAAACAGACACUUGAUGGCCUCAGAAUUAAAGCUCCUCUCUGACUUUGGCCCACUGUUCUAGAACAUAAGCGAUAUCCGUG
RNAcentral lists this long non-coding RNA (569 nucleotides) under Equus caballus (horse). RNAcentral describes it as "lncRNA (ENSECAG00000060084.1)". Lineage: Eukaryota; Metazoa; Chordata; Mammalia; Perissodactyla; Equidae. The record is from RNAcentral.